GGUAAGGUGGCUGAGUAUAGCGUUAGACUGUAAAUCUAAACACAGGGGUUUAAGUCCCCUUUUUACCA
This 68-nucleotide transfer RNA is filed under the name Mastomys natalensis (African soft-furred rat). RNAcentral's name for it is "tRNA-Tyr". It matches the Rfam family "tRNA". Rfam says of the family: Transfer RNA (tRNA) molecules are approximately 80 nucleotides in length. Their secondary structure includes four short double-helical elements and three loops (D, anti-codon, and T loops). Further hydrogen bonds mediate the characteristic L-shaped molecular structure. tRNAs have two regions of fundamental functional importance: the anti-codon, which is responsible for specific mRNA codon recognition, and the 3' end, to which the tRNAs corresponding amino acid is attached (by aminoacyl-tRNA synthetases). tRNAs cope with the degeneracy of the genetic code in two manners: having more than one tRNA (with a specific anti-codon) for a particular amino acid; and 'wobble' base-pairing, i.e. permitting non-standard base-pairing at the 3rd anti-codon position. Lineage: Eukaryota; Metazoa; Chordata; Mammalia; Rodentia; Muridae. The record is from RNAcentral.